This is a non-coding RNA of Anas platyrhynchos (mallard), 2640 nucleotides long. The record is from RefSeq and is a predicted model, not a curated record. Lineage: Eukaryota; Metazoa; Chordata; Aves; Anseriformes; Anatidae.
AGACAUGGUGAGUUUGGUUGCAGCUCUGGGGAGGCAUAUUUCUCCUCUGCAGUUUACACAUCUCUCUGCUGGCUGGUGAGGAAGGGGAUGGUAUCACAAGAUUUGAACAUCCCACUUUGAAUGCAGCUGCUUGUCAUAGGCAGUAUCAGAUGAGAGAAAGUGAAAGACCUACUAUGGGGUGGUUCCCUUCAGGACAGCACCCUCUAGCAGCUGAAAUCAAUGGGAUUCUCGCCUCCUCCAGGUGAGCAAUUUCAGGACAGCUUUGCUCCUCUCAGAAUAGCAAUGUGUAACCAUAAUGUAAGAAACAGGGUAAGAAAGCAGGGGAAAUGCAUUCAGUACCUUGUUCCAUGACCCUGAAUAUUUCAAUAUUUAGUUGUGUUCCAUCCUUUUUCUCUUCUAUUUAGUGCACAGGACUCCUCUAGAGUCAGCAGAGGUCUGCGUGCCUUCAGCCUGCCGGUGCUGUGUUCACUGAACAGUGACUUGGAAACUUCAACAUCUGCUUUUCACUAAGGAACAUUUUGAGAUUUUCUACUGUCCUCAGCUGGUACCUUCUGACUUGUGCUCAGAGUUGUCACUGUCAGUGUGAACACUAUCAAAGACCUGGAAAGAUGGAAUGGUGCAUUUUCCCACAGGAAAUAACAGUGAGCAAGUUGCAUGUUUAAGUUAGGCAUAUUUAUGUGUGAUGGGAUAUUCAAAAGUAAGCAUCCUCCAGAAGGAUCCCUUCUGCAAUCAAAGUGAUGUCUCAUCCUCAGUGUAAAUGAGAUGGGUGUCUUCCAGCUCUUUCCUUUCACACACAUAAGAUAAUUUUUGUAUGGGUCUAGACAUUUCCAGUCGCUCCUAGUCAAACCUAAGAAAGUUAUAUCUUAGUGUAUAUUUUUAGAAUGAGAUUUAUACUAAUCCCAGUCAAAGCUUAGCACCCAAAGUCAUCUCCAAAGCUAGGCAUGCACUGUAAGAAGGAAUCUGAAUGGCAAGUCCCCUUGGGUGCCUAGUUCUUGGAGCAGGUCCCAGAGGCAGACCCUGCCACUGGUCACUUCUUGCUGGCUGGCCUUUAUUCAGGAAAGCUUCAACCCUCAUGACUGAAACAAAACAUCCUUGAGGAACUUAUGAAUAAGUCCAUUUGCUUCCUGCCUCAAACACUUCUAAAACAUUAACCUGAAGCGUAAACGUUUCUGCCUUUCAUUUCCUUGGGGAUGACAGGAGAGAGAGACUGAGACUGAUUGCAAAAGCUGUAGUGCUUGUCUGAAGUUUUUAGCCUGACUCUGGUCAGGCCCCAGGUGACCAGCUAAUGAAAAUAAUUCAAACUUUACCAAAACAAGAGCCAUUUAUAAUGUGGAAAUUCUAGACAGACAGCUCCACAAAACCCUGGGAACAAACAUGGAGAUAAAUCUGCAAGGAAAAACACCCCUACCUCACUGCUCACAAGGUCAAUUCUAAAUAGCAUCAUGGGGCACAGCCCCCACAUGUGGCAGAAAAUUAGUUAGCAUUAGUUGUUUUGUUUUGUUUUUCCAUACCUGUUUGCUUUUUUCCUCUAGAGUGAUGCAGUAUGAGGAAACAUUUUGCUUUGGGAAUAUUAGACAGCCUUUUCAAACCCAUGUCUUUUACAUAAGCAAACUGGGAUUAUUCUUAAGAACAGUUUCUAUAACCAUAAAUGAAAGAGGAAGAAUGAACCCUGGAAAAUGGGUAAAAAAGCCCUGACUUGAAAUAAAUACAACACAGCCAUGAAGCAAGACAUGGAACAGUGAGAGGAACAUGCAUGAAAGAGGAAAUGAGCUGUGGCUCUCCAAUAAGAAAACUGGAAGCUUUCAGAUGUCAAAAAUCUCCCAGAAACAGAAAAAGGAAGAUGGCUUGCAUACCAUGGCUCACAGGGUUGAGAGCUUGGUCAGCACCUCCAAAGCACAGCUGGAGGUAAAGAGUGACUGGGAGCCAUGGCACCCCAGUGAAAUUCUCCACCAGGGCUGGUGUCCCCAGGCCAGGAGAUCAGCAGUCUGCUCCUUCCUGCUCUCCAGGUAGGAGCUCCUGGGCAGAGCGGGGCCAUGGGACACGCUGGUGCUUGGUAGAAGUUUCCCAGUCAAAAGACUUGCAGUUAUGAGGAAGGUGCAUGCUGACCCUUGCAGGUUUGGGACCAUCCUCAGGACAUGUCUGAAGACCACACAACGAAGACAAUGAAGAACAAUUUAGAGUCAGUACCAAAACUCUCACCAAGAUGUUCUCAGAGAUCGUCUCAGAUAUGGCACAAAAUGAUGAGUACAGACUGAACAGACAGCACAAACAGCACAAACUGAAUAGACUCAGUUAAGUCCACUUAAAAGCCUUAUCUAAGCCUUUUUAAUGUAGGGAUUGCAACUUAAUUAAAAUGAAGUGCUUAUAAUGUGAGUUUUGUAAAUAAAAAGUCUUUAGAGGUGCACAACGUGUAACUAUUCUUUUUUUUUUUUUUAUUGUAACUUCAUAUUAAAUUAAAAAGCAUAUAAAAACCUUUGCAUUUAUACAUAAAUACCCCUUGGCAUUUAUUAAUACUUUAUUUCAUAAUAGCUAUUUUCCAAGCAUUUACUAAGACCUCUGUGAAGGUACAAAAUGUAUUUCUGAUUCCUGUGGAAAUCAGUAAUUGGAAAAUUGUCUUUUUAGUAAUUCCUGCCUUUUGAG